This 518-nucleotide long non-coding RNA is filed under the name Capsella rubella. Its description in RNAcentral is "long non-coding RNA (CRUB_LNC001948)". Lineage: Eukaryota; Viridiplantae; Streptophyta; Magnoliopsida; Brassicales; Brassicaceae. The record is from RNAcentral.
UUGUUGACAUAUGAACAUGUGUCAACAUAAUGUGCCCAUGAGUUUUUUUAAGUAUAGAUGACUGAGGUAAAAUAAUAGCAAAAAUAACCUCUUUUAUCUUCUACUCUGGACAACACAGUAUCUUAUUUUCACUCUAGUUUAACAGUUUGAUCAUAGCACAUACUCCACUGUCUAGGUACUGGAAAUAGAAUCAUAUGUGAGCUAAUAGAAUUGAGGAAGGAAAGAUUCUUAGGUCACCAGUAGACAGGUUCUAUCGCAAUGGAGAAUAGUGCUGCUGUCAAUGGUCAACUUUAUAGGCUCUCUGUAUCUUUUUACUUUUUCAUUGUUAUAGAAAUGGUCAAAGCUCAACUUGUAGUUGUAUAGUGCUAUUCUCCCGGUGCAGUUACCAUUUCACAUUCUUUAUUUCUGCUGCUGAUUGUUUGUAUAGACUUGGAUUAUGGGUUAAUGUUGAAAAAAUUGAAUAUUUUGUCAAACUUGUUUCCGCUGUCUUACGUACUGUUCUUUCAUACCUGACACAG